AUAUCAAUAAGCGGAGGGAAAGAAACCAACAGGGAUUACCUCAGUAACGGCGAGUGAAGCGGUAACAGCUCAAAUUUGAAAUCUGGCUCACGCCCGAGUUGUAAUUUGUAGAAGAUGCUUUGGGUGUAGCUCCGGUCUAAACGGGUGGUAAAUUUCAUCUAAAGCUAAAUAUCGACGAGAGACCGAUAGCGCACAAGUA
This 199-nucleotide ribosomal RNA is filed under the name uncultured Erysiphaceae. RNAcentral's name for it is "partial large subunit ribosomal RNA". It matches the Rfam family "Eukaryotic large subunit ribosomal RNA", at positions 40 to 350 of the family's 3401-position model. Lineage: Eukaryota; Fungi; Ascomycota; Leotiomycetes; Helotiales; Erysiphaceae. The record is from RNAcentral.